GCCUCUGUAGCUCAGUUGGUUAGAGCGCUGCACCGGAAUCGCAGGGCCGUAGGUUCAAUUCCUACCAGAAGAC
This 73-nucleotide transfer RNA is filed under the name Paramuricea clavata. It matches the Rfam family "tRNA". Rfam says of the family: Transfer RNA (tRNA) molecules are approximately 80 nucleotides in length. Their secondary structure includes four short double-helical elements and three loops (D, anti-codon, and T loops). Lineage: Eukaryota; Metazoa; Cnidaria; Anthozoa; Malacalcyonacea; Plexauridae. The record is from Rfam by way of RNAcentral.